RNAcentral lists this ribosomal RNA (133 nucleotides) under uncultured bacterium. RNAcentral describes it as "partial 16S ribosomal RNA". The record is from RNAcentral.
CGGAGUUAGCCGAUGCUUAUUCCUCAGGUACCGUCAAAAUUCUUCCCUGAGAAAAGAGGUUUACAAUCCAAGAACCUUCCUCCCUCACGCGGUAUUGCUCCGUCAGGCUUUCGCCCAUUGCGGAAAAUUCCCC